AGCGAACGCUGGCGGCAGGCUUAACACAUGCAAGUCGAACGCCCCGCAAGGGGAGUGGCAGACGGGUGAGUAACACGUGGGAACGUACCCUUUGGUUCGGAAUAACUUGGGGAAACUCAAGAUAAUAACUGAUAAGCCCACAUGGGGAAAGGUUUACUGCCGCAGGAUCGGCCAGCGUCUGAUUAGCUAGUUGGUGAGGUAAUGGCUCACCAAGGCGACGAUCAGUAGCUGGUCUGAGAGGAUGAUCAGCCACACUGGGACUGAGACACGGCCCAGACUCCUACGGGGGGCAGCAGUGGGGAAUAUUGGACAAUGGGGGCAACCCUGAUCCAGCCAUGCCGCGUGAGUGAUGAAGGCCUUAGGGUUGUAAAGCUCUUUUACCCGGGACGAUAAUGACGGUACCGGGAGAAUAAGCCCCGGCUAACUUCGUGCCAGCCGCCGCAGUAA
This 447-nucleotide ribosomal RNA is filed under the name uncultured bacterium. RNAcentral's name for it is "partial 16S ribosomal RNA". It matches the Rfam family "Bacterial small subunit ribosomal RNA", at positions 29 to 523 of the family's 1533-position model. The record is from RNAcentral.